UUGCUACUCCCUCCGUUUGAAAAUAUUUGUUAUCAAAAUAGAUAAAAAAAAAUGUAUCUAGAACUAAAAUACAUCUAGAUAUAUUCUCUUUUAUCUAGUUUGAUGACAAGUAUUUUCGGAUGGAGGGAGUACUAC
Non-coding RNA from Triticum aestivum (bread wheat), 135 nucleotides. The record is from Rfam. Lineage: Eukaryota; Viridiplantae; Streptophyta; Magnoliopsida; Poales; Poaceae.